CUCCAUAUUACCUAUAGUUCUGUUUACGUCAAUUUUAUGCGCUCGGCUGCCAUUUUUGCGUAGCCUAGUGCUUAUUAGCCAUUCCAUGGGCUCGGUCUCCGUGGUAAUGUCUGGAUGUUGUGACGUAGUAAUUGGGAGACGCUGUUGUCUUUAGUUGUGUGUCUAUACUGAGAGCUAGCGUUUUUGUUUUGGCUAUGUCGGGCCCCAGGCAGUGCCCUGACUGUGGCUCCUGUGAUGUUGUGGAGGAUGCUCACUACUCCCAGGACCAGCUGGUGUGCACUGCCUGCGGCUUUAUAUUGACAGAGGGACUGCUGACAACAACCCAGGCAGAGGAGGGCUUUCAGCAAGGUGUGUAUACUGUAUUAUAAUCCCACAUAGUGCUAUGCUAUCACAGUGUGGUGUUUGUUUUGAUUAAAACAAGGUUUAUUGAAUAAUUAUUUUGUUUCAAGGCAUAAAGGUAAAGCAUUCUGAUUAAAGUUGCUCUGCCACUUUAUAAAAAAAAAAAACACACAACUAAAUAUAUUUAGUCCCAAAUCUCCCCACUGAUUUAAGUGCACCUAUAUACAUUACAUUGCAUUAUACAUUUUAGAACAGGUUUGUUUUUUUGCUUUGUUUGUUUUUUCUUUCUGAUAACGUAUAUCUAUACCUGAUGCAACCUUAAGUAUGAUUUAAAUGUUUUUUUUAAAUGGCGAAAAGAUUCAUAGUUUUGCUUUUAAUACUAUACAAGUGCAACUAAAGAAAAAUACAAAAAGAAUUUCAAUUAUUUAUUUGCAUUUCUAAGACAACACUGGAAGGAGUCAAUUAAAGGGACUCUAUAGUCACCAAAACAACUUUAGCUUAAUGAAGCAGCUUUUGUGUACAAAUCAAGCCUCUGAAGUUAAUUCACUUUUGUUUCUGUUGGAGGGGAACUAUAGUGCCAGGAAAACAAACGCAUGUGCCUGGCACUAUAGCUUCCCCCUUUGUCAAUGCUCACCCCCGUGGUGCAGAAGGGGUUAAUAACCCCUUCUGUAACUUACCUGGGUCCAUCACCGAUGUUACUUGAUGCUGGUUCAGCUCCGCCCACGUCCGCUGGUGGGGGAGACCUAAUGCGCACAAUGGCCUCGCUCGCAUUUGGAUUUCCUCAUAGGAGAGCAUUAUUCAGUGCUUUACUGUGGGGAUUCCAGUGACGCUGGAAGUCCUCAUUCAUAGCGUGAGGACGUACUGCCUCGUUUAGGCGACCAAAAGUCGUCUUCAAGCCUGGUAGGCUGUGUAAUUCACACGCAGGGAGGUGUGACUAGGCCUGAAUGAAAAGUGUUUUAACUCCUAAAUGCCAUAGAAUUGAGCAGUAACACAGCAGGGACAUGAUCUAUACACCAAAACUGCUUCAUUGAGUGACUAUAGUGUCCAUUUAAGGUGUUAAAGCUAGACCUUUGCAAAAUUUCGUAUAAAUUGUAGCUGGAGGAAAGGGAGCUCGGACAGUUGUGCAUAUAGCAUUAGGCCACCACACACAAAACAUAAAAUUAGGGAUUAUUCUAGCUUUUAGUGAACGAAUAAUCUGAAUUUUAUUAAAGACAGGAGGCGAAUAUUUGCUUAUCUUUCUUUACUGUAACUCCCAGCAGCAAAGAAAUGGUUAACAAUGUUGUAUGGAAAAAUCAACCAAUCAUAACAUAUCUCAACUACAAUAUAGUGUCAUCAAACUCCUCCCACUUCCUCUUUCUUGAUGUUGCCAGUCAGUAGCAAAGUCAACCAUGUAAACUUUAACCGGAACAGUUCCCGAAGCUGAAACUCGAGAUGAAGUCAACCAUGUAAACGGAAAGUUGAUCGAAUAAACUUGAGAUCUUCACACUAAAAGAAAAGAGAGACUUCGUGAAAGUAAGGUUUCUCGGACAAGAGAAAAAAUAUAUAUAUAUAGUUGAAUCCCCUAUUUCCAAUUAUAGUUCAUACGAAUUGGCAGAAUAAUCAAGAUUAUAAAGAUCUAUCAGUACUCUAUGAGAUAGGUGUUUAACCACAAGGUGAGCAAAUCGUAUAUAGCAGGUUUGUAUGUAAAUAAUGGUAUCAUACAUUAAUCAUUGAGUAUGAGACUUACCUCGAGGGUGGGUUCCGGAAUGAACGAAGGGAGGGAAAAUAUUCGCCUCCUGUCUUUAAUAAAAUUCAGAUUAUUCGUUCACUAAAAGCUAGAAUAAUCCCUAAUUUUAUGGCAAGACAGGAGGCUUCAUAUUUGCUGUUUUAACGCUCUCGAAUAAUAGAACAAGCCGCAUGUGUUUGUGUUGGUUUAAAAUAAAAAGUCCGAAAGGUAGAUUCCCUUGACCAAUCAGCGCAGGACAAAAUAUCCGCUAAUGAACUGCCGGCCCGAAAGGCAGAGGAUGCGGCCGCUCCCCUAACGGAAUGGGCCCCAAAUGAUCUAUCGAUUCCCGCUUGGAUAAGUAACCAUCUUAUCCAGCGAGCGAUAGUGGGGGAAGAGACCGGUUUGUGAGGUCUGACAUAAGAGAUGAAAAGGGGACCGGUAGGAGAACGUAGGGCGGCAGUUGCCUCUGUGUAACAACGAGUACACAGAGCCACACAGAGGGCUGGCCUGUCGGGAAAGUAUGGGUAAAAAACAGACGAGGAAUUCGUCUUAGUGCGCCUAGUAAUUCACCUUCUGGUGUGAAGGAGACAGCGUGUGAAUCAAAAGCGUGAACGUCAGAAACUCUGCGGAAUGACACCAGGCACAGUAGCAGGGCCAAUUUUGCAGAGAGCUGUCGAAGGGAUAAGGCCUCGUUAGGAGGCCAAGACUCUAACAAUGCGAAGACUCGAGAUAUGUCCCAGAAGCCAGAGUAUUUGGCAGAAGGUGGCCUCGUCAAACGAAUGCCUCGUAAAAGUCUGCACACAGAAGGAUGUUUCCCAACUAAGGAAUUAUCAAUAGGGUCAUGUCCCGCCGAAAUGGCGGAACGAAAAACAUUAAUUGAUCGGUAUGAUUUACCCUGAUCGAAAAGGGAUGAUAGAAAAUUUAGAAUGGAUGAGAGAGAUGUUGAAACGGGAUCGAAAUCCCUCUCCAGACACCAGCUGACCCAAACUCGCCAUGCGGCGAGAUAGGUGCGCCUGGUUCCUGGUGCCCAUGAAUCCCAUAGGAGUGUUUGAGCAGUGCUUGAAAGUCCUGCGACAUGCCAAGCACCCCUGAAACUGUCCAGGCCACUAACUGAAGGUGGCCCUGUAGAGCUAGUGGAUGGUAGUCGCCCGUUGAGUUCUUGAGAACCCGAUGUGAGCGAGGUAGAAUGAUGGGGUAGUCUGUGGAAAGCUCCAGAAGAGUGGGGAACCACGUCUGGGCCCGCCAUAGAGGGGUAACUAUCACAAUCUUGACCCUCUGUGAUUUGACCUGGUGGAGAGUACGUUGAAUCAUGGAGAAGGGAGGGAAGGCAUAGGCUCCGUCCCGUGGCCAAUGUUGGAGAAAAGCGUCGACAGCUGGGGAUAGAGGGUCUGGUAACCAGCUGAAAUAAUCGUCUGUUUGACGAUUCAGCCGAGACGCGAAGAGGUUGAGAGUGAGCGGUCCCCGCAAUAGGUGAAUGUGGUGAAAUAGAAGAGGAUCUAAUUGCCAAUCGCUGGCAUCCCUCCAGUGACGUGAGAACCAGUCCGCGACUAAAUUGUCGGGUCCUGGGAGAUACUCGGCCCGAAUAGACAGAUUCCUGUCUAAGCAAAACUGAUACAGAUCCUUGGUGAGGUCUGACAGUAGUUUCGAUUUGGACCCUCCUAGACGGUUUACAUAUCGUACUGCGGAGAUGUUGUCCAUCCGAAGUACCAGAGAGCAGUUGGAGGCUUCUUUGGCAAAGCUGCGGAUCGCGAAGGAUCCGGCAAUGAGCUCGAGACAAUUUAUGUGAAGUGCUCGUUCCGACGGGGACCAGAGACCUCCUGUGUAUGAUUGGGCGCACGUAGCGCCCCAACCGAGUAGGCUGGCAUCGGAUUCCAGAAUAAAAUCUGGUUGAGAUCCGAAAAUCGCUUUCCCAUUCCAGGCUUCCAUAUUGCGAAGCCACCAGUGAAGUUCGAUGAGAACUUCGUCCGUUAGGGAAAUGAAUUGGUCGUAGGAGGUCGAGCGAUGUAAAUAGGAGGUUUUCAGCCGUUGCAUUGCUCUGUAAUGCAAGGGCCCUGGAAAAAUAGCCUGAAUUGAUGCAGACAGAAGACCCAGCACGUGUGCUAGGUCGCGGAGUCGAGGUCGUUGUGACUUGAGUAAUUUUUGAAUCUCUCGUUUUAUGUUUUUGAUUUUGGAGUAGGGUAAUUGUAGAGUUGCUUGAACUGAAUCUAUCUGAAAACCCAAAAAUUGGACUAUUUGAGAAGGUACCAGGUCUGAUUUCUGGUAAUUUAUGACAAAACCUAGGUUUUGAAGGAGGGCAGAGGUCAUGUGUGUGUGUUUGCGAAGUAAUUGCUGAUCUUGUGCCAUGAUCAGGAUAUCGUCCAAAUAUAUAAUUGAACGUAUGCCCUGAGAACGAAGGAGCGCCAUGACUGGUUUCAUCAACUUGGUGAAACACCAUGGAGCAGAACAAAGUCCGAAAGGGAGGCAGGUGAACUGCCAAAUGUCGCCUUGCCAACGGAAUUGGAGGAAGGCACGGUGACUUGGUGCUACAGGGACCGUCAGAUAAGCAUCUUUGAGGUCGAAUCUGGAGAACCAGUCUCCCAUGCAGAGCAAGUCCCUGAGAAGAUGGAUACCUUCCAUCUUGAAAUGACGGUAUGUGAUAAAGCGAUUCAACGCCUUGAGGUUGAUAAUGGGACGAUGGUCCCCCGUUUUCUUCCGAACCAGAAAUAUAUUGCUGAGGAAGGUGCAAGGGAAAGGCGAAGGUUCGAUCGCCCCUUUGUGUAACAAUUUUGUCAGUUCUGUGUUCAAGGUUAGAGUAUCUGCUUUUGACAUCCCUAAGGGUGUCGGGUGAGAAUAUUGAACUGGAUGUGUGAUAAAAUCUAUUUUGAAACCUGUGACUGUAUGAAGGAUCCAAAGAUCCUGAGAAAGAAGUUUCCACUGUGGGAAAAAGAAUGUUAAUCGACCUGCGAUUGAUACAGUUUUUAAAUAAGCAAGGUCCAUUACCUGAAGCAGUGCGUCCGCGCAGGGAUACAGAGCCACGUCCUCGAAUUGAGCCUCUGGUGUUGAACAGCUGCCUGUGGUAUGGUCGUGAGUAUCCCGUGGACCAAUACUCUGUGGGUCGGGGCCUGUAGCCUGAAAAGGCUGCUCUACUGGUAGCUCGGCCCCUUGAGCGACCAGCUCUCCCAGAAAAACGAUUUUGAAAAGUGGGACGGAACACCCUACGUAGGGAGGACUGGGCUUUAUUGAGUGUGGUAAAAACUGAGACAUGCUUGGAGAGGUCUCGCAUGAAACUGUUACCAAAUAAAAGACCAUCGGCCUCUGGGCCUAGUUCUUUAGUGCUCAAAUCCACUAGUUUGGCAUCGAUUUUGUACAGUGCCGCUCUGCGUCUCUCAAUUGAAAUAGCCGUAUUGGCGUUGCCCAGAAGGCAAAGGGCUCUCUGCGCCCAUUCUCUUAUAAUAUGCGGGUCUAAUUCACCGCUGGUGAGUGCCUCAUCUGCGAGUAUAAAUAUUUGUAUGAUAGGACCUGAAAUGUCCAAUAAUUUGUCUUGGGUUGCUUUCAAACCCUGUUCAAUACCCUUCCGAGGGUCUUUACCAGAUUUUGUUAAAUAGGUGACCAACAUGGGGUCAAAUUCAGGGGUAGAGGCAACUUUGCCUGGGAUAGUAGGUCUCGGGCAUUCAGCCCUUAGUUUGUUUCUGAUUUCUUUUUCGAGGGGCUUGCGAAGCCACAGUUUACAGAAAUUAGCAAUAUGAUCUGGGGGAGCCCAUUCUGCUGAGCGUGGGUGGCGUAUCACCCUUGGGUCAAAAAGUGGAAGGCCUGAAGCAUCCAGGAGGGUGUCUGAGUCAGGUACCUUACUCUUGUGAUCUUGAUUUAGGAAAGUUUCUUUCACGAACUCCGAUGUUGAGGAAUCCUGGGGCACAUUCACCAUGGGAUCCUCAUCAGAGUAAUUGGGGUCAUAGUCACUUAGAAUAUGGCCAGAUAAACGUGAAGUAGAACCCUCUAGAGGGUCUGUAACAUCCUGUGAAACAUAGGGCUUAGCAUGUUUAAUGACCUUAGCAGGAGCUUUGCCCUUGCCCGCAGUAGCGCUAUUCCCUUUCCAGGGUCUUUUGCGCGGGGCGCUAUCUUGGUCGGAGAUAUGGGAGUCCUCAGAGUCAGAGGGCUGUUGUGUAGAGGGGUGUACCUCUGGAUUACGUUCAUGGUAGGCUGCCAGAGCCUUAGGAAUGGACUCUGCGAUAGUUGAGAAAAGCCAUUCCUUAAGUUCGGCAGAGAUCGCAGGGUCUUGGCGAUCUGACAUAAUGUCAAUUUAAAGAUAAAUGUAAACCCUAAUAACAACUAUCUAUAUAUAUAUAUAUAUAUAUAUAUAUAUAUAUAUAUAUAUAUAUAUAUAUAUAUAUAUAUAUAUAUAUAUAUAUAUAUAUAUAGAUAUAGAUUAAAGAGUAUCAAUUAAGGAUGAGGCAACUCAAUUAGAAAAAUAUGAGGUGGGGGUCACCCACGAGACGUCAAACAAUGGGGGUCACCCACAAAUGCUUGGCACAAUAAAAUAGUAAAGGAUAAUUAAUGGGGGUCACCCAAUAAUACAGAUUGUGAACAAUAGGAAAUAUUGUACAGAUACUGAGGUGGGGUCACCACUAUAAAAUUACACCAAUAAUAUAUAUAAUGUGUAUAUAUAAUGUACUGUAAGUAAUGGGGGUCACCCACAAAAUAAAGUAAAGUGGUGUUAGCCACAUAAAUAUGCACACAGCAGUGUAUUCAGUAGGUGGUGUCAGCCACACAACUAUUGUACAUAAUAUGUACUUUAAAUAAGUAAGUGGGGUUCACCCACAGGAGGAAAAUAAAAAUGGUCAGUCAGACAAAUUUGGUAAAAAACAAACCACACUGUAAUUAUACCACUUAAGGAAAGGGGUUCACCCAGAGUUGUAAUAAAAUGGUCCUGUGUGGGCAAAGCCUGUGGAAAAAACAGAUAGGAGAUAGAUCAGUAAGUGAUCGUUUUUAAUGAGUUUUAUGAAAAAAUAGGUGGAUAUAAGGUGGCAGCAACCUACCUUCCACAACUAGUUAAUAAAGUUCUGUACCCACAGGAUGAUCGUGAAAAACUAGCGCCGCAGUGGAGGAGCCGUUGGCAGUUACACUGCAGUUUAAAAUGGCCGCCGCGAGAUCGCCGCCGUUGAAAGGGCGGGAAAGGUCCGCGUCAUAGGAAGACGCUUGGUAGGCGGGAGGAAGGCAAUGGCGGGAAAAAAGCAGCCGCGGCUCUGGGAGAUGGAGUCCGCGGCUGAAGAGAGGCAGAGAAUAGGGCCGCGGCUCUUCCUGAGAGAAUAGAGCCGCGGCCAGCUGAGUGAAAAACGGCAGGGUUCGAAAAACCCUCCGUGCACUGAAAACCGGUUAGGACGCCAAAUUUAAAGGGGAACAAACAAUCCAAUACAGGGAAAUAAGAAAAAAUAAUAUAUGUGUGAGAAAAAGAGGAAAUAUUUAAAGGAAAUAUUUAAAGGAAAAGAUGAUUGAAUCAAAAUAAAUUUUUUAAGAUGAAUUCUAUGUAUGCAGUAACAAGGUUUAAAUAAACAAAUAUUGAAUUAACUAAAACCAGUAAGGCAAUGUAAUUGGAGCAGACUCACCUGGGAGGCAAGCAGCAAAGAAAGAGGAAGUGGGAGGAGUUUGAUGACACUAUAUUGUAGUUGAGAUAUGUUAUGAUUGGUUGAUUUUUCCAUACAACAUUGUUAACCAUUUCUUUGCUGCUGGGAGUUACAGUAAAGAAAGAUAAGCAAAUAUGAAGCCUCCUGUCUUGCCAUAAAAUUAAUACAGCCUUUAAUGCUCUCAUUCUGAGCUGACUGGAAUUUAUUAUUUUUUUUUUUUUUUUUUUUAAGAAUACUGUGAAUUUUUUAAAAUAGAAAAUACUCUAUAUCCAUUAAUGCAAUUAAAUCAACCUAAAUAUGUCUUGUUUAUUGUUUGUGUACAGCGGUGAAGUUUUCUGAGAGUACCGGAGAGCGUGAAUCAACAAGCAAGUGCAAACUUCGAGG
This is a non-coding RNA of Pelobates cultripes (western spadefoot toad), 8025 nucleotides long. NCBI's taxonomy places the organism in Eukaryota, Metazoa, Chordata, Amphibia, Anura, Pelobatidae. The record is from the annotation of a GenBank genome assembly.